Molecule: transfer RNA, 73 nt
Filed under: Ailuropoda melanoleuca (giant panda)
Lineage: Eukaryota; Metazoa; Chordata; Mammalia; Carnivora; Ursidae
Rfam family: tRNA
About the family: Transfer RNA (tRNA) molecules are approximately 80 nucleotides in length. Their secondary structure includes four short double-helical elements and three loops (D, anti-codon, and T loops). Further hydrogen bonds mediate the characteristic L-shaped molecular structure. tRNAs have two regions of fundamental functional importance: the anti-codon, which is responsible for specific mRNA codon recognition, and the 3' end, to which the tRNAs corresponding amino acid is attached (by aminoacyl-tRNA synthetases). tRNAs cope with the degeneracy of the genetic code in two manners: having more than one tRNA (with a specific anti-codon) for a particular amino acid; and 'wobble' base-pairing, i.e. permitting non-standard base-pairing at the 3rd anti-codon position.
Source: Rfam by way of RNAcentral
ACCCGGCUGGCUCAGUUGGUGGAGCAUGUGACUUUUGAUCUCAGGGUUAUGAGCUCAAGCCCCACGUUGGGCG